CCUACGGGGGGCAGCAGUGAGGAAUAUUGGUCAAUGGCCGAAAGUCUGAACCAGCCAAGUCGCGUGAGGGAUGACUGCCCUAUGGGUUGUAAACCUCUUUUAUAAGGGAAUAAAAAAUGCUACGUGUGGCAUGAUGUCUGUACCUUAUGAAUAAGGAUCGGCUAACUCCGUGCCAGCAGCCGCGGUAAUACGGAGGAUCCGAGCGUUAUCCGGAUUUAUUGGGUUUAAAGGGUGCGUAGGUGGAUUUUUAAGUUAGUUGUGAAAGCUUGGGGCUCAACCCUAGAAUUGCAAUUGAAACUGUGAGACUUGAGUACAGACGAGGUAGGCGGAAUACGUGAUGUAGCGGUGAAAUGCUUAGAUAUAACGAAGAACUCCGAUAGCGAAGGCAGCUUACUAGACUGCAACUGACGCUGAGGCACGAAAGCGUGGGUAGCAAACAGGAUUAGAUACCCUUGUAGUC
RNAcentral lists this ribosomal RNA (460 nucleotides) under uncultured bacterium. Its description in RNAcentral is "partial 16S ribosomal RNA". It matches the Rfam family "Bacterial small subunit ribosomal RNA", at positions 338 to 795 of the family's 1533-position model. The record is from RNAcentral.